This 959-nucleotide non-coding RNA is filed under the name Rhizomys pruinosus (hoary bamboo rat). RNAcentral describes it as "12S ribosomal RNA". It matches the Rfam family "Microsporidia small subunit ribosomal RNA". The record is from RNAcentral. Lineage: Eukaryota; Metazoa; Chordata; Mammalia; Rodentia; Spalacidae.
CAAAGGUUUGGUCCUGGCCUUAUUAUUAGUUGUAGGUAGACUUACACAUGCCAGACUCCACGCUCCGGUGUAAAAUCCCUUAGAAUCUAUUCUUUAGACAAAAAGGAGAGGGUAUCAAGCACACUAAUAGUUGCUAAAGACACCUUGCCUAGCCACACCCCCACGGGUUACAGCAGUGAUAAAAAUUAAGCAAUAAACGAAAGUUUGACUUAGUCAUACCCUUUUACCGGGUUGGUAAAUAUCGUGCCAGCCACCGCGGUCAUACGAUAAACCCAUACUAAUAAUCAUACGGCGUAGGGAGUGUAAAAAGACUAAAAAUUAAUAGGAUAGAAAACGGCCCCUUAAGUAAAAUUUCAUGACCCUUAUAAUAAUCAAUGACGAAAGUAUUCCUAAUAAGCUUGAUACACGAAAGCUAAGAUCCAAACUGGGAUUAGAUACCCCACUAUGCUUAGCCAUAAACCUAGGUAAUUCUUUUAACAAAAUAACUCGCCAGGGAACUACUAGCAAUUGCUUAAAACUCAAAGGACUUGGCGGUACUUUACAUCUGUCUAGAGGAGCCUGUUAAAUAAUCGAUAAACCCCGUUAUACCUUACCAUCUCUUGCUAAUUCAGCCUAUAUACCGCCAUCUUCAGCAAACCCUGUUAAGGAACAAUAGUAAGCAAAAUGAUUACCAAUAAAUACGUAAGGUCAAGGUGUAGCCUAUGAGGUGGACAACAAUGGGCUACAUUUUCUCCCCAAGAACACACGGAACCUUUUUUGAAAAAAAAAGGCAAAGGAGGAUUUAGUAGUAAAUUAAGAAUAGAGUGCUUAAUUGAACAUAGCAAUGAAGUACGUACACACCGCCCGUCACUCUCCUCAAGUAUUAAACUUUUUUCCCCUACCUAAAAAUAACAAAGAAACAUAUUAGAGGAGACAAGUCGUAACAUGGUAAGCAUACUGGAAAGUGUGCUUAGGAAAAA